AGAGUUUGAUCCUGGCUCAGGAUGAACGCUAGCGGCAGGCUUAACACAUGCAAGUCGAGGGGCAGCACGGGUAGCAAUACUUGGUGGCGACCGGCGCACGGGCGUAACGCGUAUGUAAUCUACCAUUAACCGGGGAAUAGCCCAGAGAAAUCUGGAUUAAUGCCCCAUAGUAUUAUCGAAAGGCAUCUUUUGAUAAUUAAAGCUCAGGCGGUUUUUGAUGAACAUGCGUCUCAUUAGUUUGUUGGUGAGGUAACGGCUCACCAAGACUACGAUGGCUAGGGGGUCUAAAAGGAUGAUCCCCCACACUGGUACUGAGACACGGACCAGACUCCUACGGGAGGCAGCAGUGAGGAAUAUUGGUCAAUGGGCGGGAGCCUGAACCAGCCAUGCCGCGUGCAGGAAGACUGCCCUAUGGGUUGUAAACUGCUUUAUACACCAAGAAAAAUCCCCACGUGUGGGGACCCGACGGUAGUGUAUGAAUAAGCAUCGGCUAACUCCGUGCCAGCAGCCGCGGUAAUACGGAGGAUGCAAGCGUUAUCCGGAUUCAUUGGGUUUAAAGGGUGCGUAGGCGGCCUUUUAAGUCAGUGGUGAAAUCUUGCCGCUUAACGGUAAAAUUGCCAUUGAUACUGAAAGGCUUGAGUACAUUUGAGGUAAGCGGAAUGUGUAGUGUAGCGGUGAAAUGCUUAGAUAUUACACAGAACACCAAUUGCGAAGGCAGCUUACUAAACUGAUACUGACGCUGAUGCACGAAAGCGUGGGGAGCGAACAGGAUUAGAUACCCUGGUAGUCCACGCCGUAAACGAUGCUCACUCGCUGUUUGCGAUACACAGCAAGCGGCCAAGCGAAAGCAUUAAGUGAGCCACCUGGGGAGUACGAUCGCAAGGUUGAAACUCAAAGGAAUUGACGGGGGCCCGCACAAGCGGAGGAACAUGUGGUUUAAUUCGAUGAUACGCGAGGAACCUUACCUGGGCUUGAAUGCUGGACGACGUUCGCCGAAAGGUUGAUUCCCUUCGGGGCUGCUUACGAGGUGCUGCAUGGUUGUCGUCAGCUCGUGCCGCGAGGUGUCGGGGUAAGUCCCAUAACGAGCGCAACCCUUAUCGUUUAGUAGCCAGCACGUAACGGUGGAAUGUCUAAGGAGACUGCCACCGUAAGGUGAGAGGAAGGUGGGGAUGACGUCAAAUCAGCACGGCCCUUAUGUCCAGGGCUACACACGUGUUACAAUGGCCGAUACAAAGGCAGCUAUCCAGGUGACUGGAUGCAAAUCGCAAAAAACAGGUCCCAGUUCGGAUUGUAGGCUGCAACUCGCCUACAUGAAGUUGGAUUCGCUAGUAAUCGCGCAUCAGCCAUGGCGCGGUGAAUACGUUCCCGGGCCUUGUACACACCGCCCGUCAAACCAUGGGAGCUGGGGGUGCCUGAAGUCUGCCACCGCAAGGAGCGGCCUAGGGUAAAACCAGUGACUGGGGUUAAGUCGUAACAAGGUAACC
Molecule: ribosomal RNA, 1484 nt
Filed under: uncultured bacterium
Lineage: Bacteria
Description: bacterial SSU rRNA
Rfam family: Bacterial small subunit ribosomal RNA
Source: RNAcentral